This is a long non-coding RNA of Morone saxatilis (striped sea-bass), 11574 nucleotides long. RefSeq lists it as uncharacterized. The record is from RefSeq and is a predicted model, not a curated record. The transcript is spliced from 3 exons. Lineage: Eukaryota; Metazoa; Chordata; Actinopteri; Moronidae.
AAUAGAAUAAAUAACUACUGUAAGCAGCUCAGCUGAAAGAAGAAAAGGUUUAUUCACAAUGUGAAUUAGCACACACACACACACACAGAGUGUAACAACUCGGUGUGUAGUUGGGUGUAGGCCAUGACGCGUGCUGAUGGUUAACAUGUUGCAUCACAGCGUGAUUUUCUGAAAUAGCAGUGGGUUGCUUAGAGCUGAUGACGCCAAUUGGACCUAUGAAUAACACACACACACAGAAAGGAGUCCACCUUGUGCGUCACACUGAUUAUAAAUGCCACCAGCCUCUCUCCUUCACAUUCAUGUCUUUCCUCUCUCCCUUUUCCCACUUCAGUCAGUGCUGCUGAGCUGUCAUCUGCUCUCCUGUUGUAGGAUGAAAAUUAUUAUUGAAAAAAUGUCACCUCUUUUUCUGCAAUUAUGAGCAUCUACAUUAAUUAAAGUACAUAAAAAUAAUAAUCAUAUUAGUAAGUGUUAUCAUUGGGACAAACUCAAUGUCCAAACCUCCUUAUGUCCAACAUUUUUGUACAUGGGAGAAAACAUUAUCUGCCUGUUUAUUUCACUCCAGUUGAUGUUUGUGCUUCUGUUCUUUCCUGUAACAUAAUCUGAAGACGAAUACCUUUAAUCAAUUUCCUUUCAUGAAGUACAAAUGAUUUCCUGCAACCUUGCAGCUCAGUCCACAAAUCCGACAAAACAAUGUCCCAAGCUGUGUCCCAAUUCUUCAUUCCUACUAAUUCUAUAUUGUUAUUUUACUAUUUCAAGAUAAAGAAAAAAAAAGUUUAAUACUUUUUGGGGGGUUUUCAAUUUUUUUUUCACCAUCCACGAUUAAAUUUAUUUGCAGUGUUCCUUUGUGCAUUGCAUGGUGGAACAAUAGUGUACUUGAACUGCAUUAAAAUUAGAAAAGUCUGCAUAUCAUCUUUGAGUAUACUUAAUAUAUAUAUGUGUGUGUAUAUAUAGUGUAUUCAAAGAUCUUUACUUCUACUUCUCAGAUGGGCAGAUAUAUGUUCUGAAUAAGUGCUAAAGAUUAAACAGCAAUGAUUAAAAAGAAUUGAAUAACUAGCAAACAACAUCCCAGUUGUUUGUAAGAUCAACCCCUUCCUCUUUCAAAUGGCAUCAAUUAUGAUAAGAGUGAACAAGACUUAAACUAAGUGAAUUCAACUUAGUGAAUUUAGGCUUGAAAUUAUGUUUUUAUUGUUUUAAUUUCAACCUUACUCCAUAUUCUGUUAUCUUGGCCAUUAAAAUAGUAAUAACAACUAUUUAUGGGGCACUGUUCAGUCCUUUAAAAGACAACAAAAUAUAGAGAAAAUCCACGACCAAAAUAAUAUUUGACGAAGCAGCGAGACAGAACUUGAGUUUACAGGAUGAUUCCUCCAUUUUCUGCCACAUGUGCUUCAGUUUAGCAGUCGUAGAGUAUCUGAACUUAGUAAGGAGGAACACUUGAUGCCACAGAGUUUUAUAGUUAGCUCACCCACAUUAAAGCCUGUCAGUGCAGUGACUCCUCCAUGGUUACAUGUAGCAGAAUAGGAAUAAGGACAGCAACAGGAUAAUUGUUAAGAACUAUUUGUCUCUGCUUCUCUGCUGGUUUUCUCAACUUUUUCUGUAACCUGGUGUCACCUCACAAGCCAUAAGAGAUGGGAGGGGAGAAAAAAUAGGAAUCAUUAUGUUUUUGUUAGCUUAGAAUGAACCUUUUUUAUCUAUAGACACUGUGGGUCACUAUGGUGUACGCCAUCUUGAACCGCCAUGUUUGUAUAGUAGUGAAUUUCCCCAGUGUGGGGAAGUAUAUCUUAUCUUACCUUAGUCCUGAAGGGACAAACAAAAAGCUGGCUCUAGAUGGGGCGUUCUUGGCCACCAUAGUUCCUCCUUCACAUCUGGAAGAUGAAGGUCAAGCGAGGUAGUUUCAAUCUAGAACUACACAGCUAGAUGUCACUAAAUCCUACAAACUGGAUUUCCCCUGAAGCAGCUUUAAGGUGGUGGUGAGGGUUUGCUCUAUCUGAUACCACACUGUAUAUAUUCAGUAUCAUCUUGUGUCAGCUUUUUCUUGAAGCUAAAGGAUCUUUAAUUAAAUAUUCAAACCAAAGACUCCAUGUAUAUACCUAUUUUAACCAUAAAUUCAGGAUUAUUCUCAGUGGGGAUGUCCCAGAAAUCUCAUAACAGCCUCACAAGACCAGUGCACCGUCAAGAGUCGAGCCUCAUAAGAAUAGCUUAACUUGACCGCACACACUCACUCACACACACACACACACACACACACACACAGUGUGAGCCAGGCCUUGGCAGAGUUAUCACUCCUGUCACAGUCUCUCCAUGAGCCCUGGCUCUCAGUGUAACACCGGACAGUUUCAAGGUACAAACGUGCAGUUGUGUGUGUGUGCGCGCAGGUACAGUAUGUUCCUGGACGUGUGUUGUUACGUGAUGUGUGCACACUGUGUGUACUUGGAUUUGUGUGUGUGCUGGUGUGAGUUUAUUGAUGGUGUCCCUCUUUUUCUUAAUACUGGUGAAUGCAAUAAAUCUUCUGUAGGACAUUCACGCACGCGCGCACACACGUACUCAAGAAGACCAUCAAUUCAGCUGAUGUCUGUAAGAAAAGGGCAAGGGCGUGUUGGAUCAUAAACAGGUACUUUAUAGUCUCUCUCUCUCUCUCUCUCUCUCUCUCUCUCUGUAAUUUAAAUUGAUGCAGUCUCUACCUCCGCACAAACACUCAGGUUACCCGGAAUCACAGCAUUUGUUGCUCCAGCCACAACUCAACCAUUGUUGACACAGCCUGCAAGGCAUUGUGGGUAAUGUCACUCCUGUAAAGGCCCAGUCUGGAAGAUGAGAGGAGUGUGUUUAUUGUCAGGAUGAUAAAUCACAAGCAAAGACAUCCAGGCCAUCCACCGCUGAAGGUGAAAAUAAACCCGAAUUUAGUUACAGUUUAAAGAUAUAAUAUGUAAUAUGUAACAUUUCCAUAUCACAUUUUUCAACUUUGAACUUUUGAACUUUUUUCUGUUUGAUGUGUCUGAAACUUUCCGACUUUAUGCCAUGACUGUGUGUAAGUGAGAGAGGAGCUAGAUUUCAUGUGUACAACCUAGUGAAACAACAUUUAAGUCUUUGAGUACCGACUGUCUGAUUAUGUGUGCUCUUAUUCCCACCUCAAUUCACACGUCUUUGAUGAAACUCUGCCUUCGAGCGUGGUCCUUCAGUAUAAACAGUUUUGCCUUUACAUGUGUUUGGACACUUUGUAUGAACUACGUUGUGUGACGAAUGCUGGACCCUUAUAUUACUGCACUGAGACUGAACUCUAUAGUAAAUCUGCCUUAAAACCAAAACAAAAAAGAGAUAAAAGCGUCUUAAAAGCUCAGUAGAGGUGCAGAGUGGUUAAUAAUUCAAUGUGGGUUCAGCACUAUGAGCGACUCUUGACAUUACAAAGACAUCUGAAAAGUAACACAAAAACAAAAUCCACCCAAAAUGGUUAUAUUACUAACUCUUCAUGUGCCUCUUGACUAAAAAUAAAUAUCAUAGAAGAAGACAAAAUUCAUACCAUCCAUUACAUGAUGAUUAGCUCAGUAACCAUAUGUUAUUUACAGCUUUAAAUAGAGCAGAACCUUUUGAUAUCUUUCAAGAGAGUAGGGAGCGUGUUUUAGGUCGUCAUGUUGGACUGGCACCAUCCACCUCGCUGUGAUGAACAGUCUGGAUGAUGGGAAGCUGCCAACAUGGCCACCUGGAGGACACCCAGAUGGAGAGGAUCCUGAGAGACUCUACAGAUCACAGGUUCUGGCAGACACGGUCAUUAAAACGCUUUAGAUGAAGCCUGUAAACAAAUAUUCCGGCUCCAGGUAAUGUGUAACAGUGUUGUAUACUUUUUGGUUGAUUUAUUGUUAUUUUACACAGACCAAGGACUUUAGUAUUUUCGAAAUGAGAUGGCACAACACACUCACACUUGUAGGAGAAGCUUACUAUAUAUUUUUUUCUUUUCUGUAUUUCAGGAACAAGAAAUGGUACAAAAACAGCAAACUAGUAUAUCACAUGAUUUUGGAAUUUGGCAGAACAGUACUGCAGUUACUAGCUAUUUAAGUCCAAUUAGUCAACAUCACUAAAAGGGUAUUUCAGCAAAUUUUAUUCAGCUGCAUUUCCAAAUGAAAAAAAAAAAUCAAUACAAAAUUCCAUAAAAGAAAGCCUUUCUGCCUUGUCAGCCAAAAUCUAUUUAUAGAAAACAUUAGUCUUGAAGACCUUAAAGACCAUGAAGACAUAUGGCUAACAUGCAGGGCUGCAGGUGCAGGUGGUGGGGAGGAGACUGGCAUAGGGGAGACCUACGGGGAUGAUCCUCCAAACGAAACCGAGUCUGCACCAUCAGCAGAUCUUCCUCUAUGCUUCCUCUGCCUCCAGCUUUGGCUACUGUUAUAUGAGCAGAAUAUACAAAGUUCUGCUAAUGCUAGAUUAUACUGGUAUUUAGCAUCCUAGGCUUCAUAACCAGUGGUGAUGGUGAACACUGCAAAACAAUCUCCUUCUCAUGAAGUCCUUUUUGUUGAUAACUGAGUUCUUAAACCUGCAAUAACUCACUUUAUUGGUGACUGUGGUGGAAGAACGUUGUGAAAACAGCAUUUACAUAUCAUUGCUUUUUAGGUUGAUACAGAAAACUUGUUAGCAAACAGUAACUUGUUUACACAUCAACAGUUAUGGAGCAACAUUAUCAUUCAUUAGGCGUCAUGUUUUUUGUCUAUUCACUCCACUUUACCUCUGUUACCUCCAAAGGGGAAAUAGCUGGCUCGUUAGACACUAAAUGCUUCACUAUGUCUCUAACUGUGUUUCUUUAUUUUUUUUCUUUUUUAAUUGAGCUGAUGUAAGGACAGAAUAAUAGGAUGAUUAUAUAACGUAUUUGAUCCAGAAAUGUGGAUAUGUUGCGCUGUUCGGCAACAUACAAAAGAUACUUGACUACAUUUAGUUGAAAAGUUAAAAUUUUGCAGAUUGUUACCUUUAUUUUAAUGGCAUCUAAUAUUAUUUAAUAUAUAACUAGUUCUACAGGAUCUGUGGGCAUAUUUAUUGGGAAAAAUGCUUGAAAAGUGACAGUGAUGUCAGCUUAAAUACUCCCGCCUUCAACCUGGUUUCGCCUGCCUUUAAAAAUGGUCAGCAAAAAUGUGGGGUCAACUGACCGCAUUAAACCACAUGUAUAACUUAAAUUUAACUGCUCAUAUGAAGUUUCACUCAAACAAAUGGCAGCAGCUAAAUAACAAAUAUUAUCUCCACAGAGGGGGGUCACACUGUGGCUCUGCACCGGCUUCUAACCCCCACCACAAACAGGACGCGACGUUCCGGUAAACAACCAGCAAACAUACAAGAGUAAACAACUUAUCUGUGUCCACAUCUGGUACUUGUUAGACAUGGACCUGAUUCACACACACACAAAUGGGACAGAUAUACACAGAUACAGACAUACUGGUGAUUCACAAAUUACACCUGUUGUUCCUGUAAUCCAAACCAGAGCUGAAAUACAAAAAAAAGAAGAGACCAUCAGCAGUUUUUCAGGGAGGCCGCUGCCAGCUGCUACCUGGAAGUUCUUGGCUGGUUUGAAAUGUCCCCAUGACUCACGUGUUUUAUGGGCUCUAAGUUUCUUGAUGCCCUUCCAGGAAACAGAAGGAAAACAACAUUUCUCAUUUCUUCCAAAUGACCACAUCGCUGUCUGCAAUACCUCAGCCUGCCAACAGGGGUCAGUAGGGAGAAUAACUGAAAAUAUUCUCAGACCUUCUUCUGUGCAGAGGAAAAUGGAUCCGUGCAGAUUUUAAAGCGUUGGCGGAGACGCUGGAUCGCUCAGGCAGGGGACAGACUAAACCACUUUCAGGCCAAAUUGACCCUUUGUCAAGUCUCGGCUCUCCUCCGCACUCCUUGGUUACGGUUGCUAAGAAGAACAAACAAUAGCCUCAGAGAGUCUGUUUCCAUUGAAAAACACCUGUUGAUUUAAUUGACUCGUAUUUCUAUUCAACCGCUUUCAGCCAGUCUUUCUGUGGUUUGGUAAAAAUCUGGUUUUAGAAUCUUGGGUAUCCUAGAGAGAGCUAUAACUGAGCACCAUAUUGAUAUUCAGGGGACUGGUGAAAACAGUUGCUAAUGUCAAGUUGCUCUUUUGCAGUCAGGUUCAGCUUCCGCCCAUCAGAAGAUUAACCACAAAAAUCAAUCUGUGGCUAUGUGUUACGUCAUGCUGCAAAAGAAGAAAAAAAUAUCCCAGUGAUCAUGUUAAUCAAUGCUCCAGAAAGGCAACAUUUACUAAUUAAGUCAUAGCUUAGGGCAUCUAAUUUUUAAGGGAACAUGUAGCAGAGGAAAGAAAAUUGCUUAGUUGAGAAGGUCAAAAACAAAAUGAUGGUAAACCCUCACGUUAGAAACUUAAAUUCUAUCAAUAAAUAUUAGUUGCUUACCUUUAUUUACAGGCAGACUUGACAACUAAACAACACUGCUCACUCAACUGACUGGUUUUAAUAAAUGGCUGCAGUUCUAACUAUUUAAAUGUCCAGCAGGUGACCGAAGCAUGGCCUAAUGGUAAAUAAUUGCUGUUUUUUAAUACCGUGUAAGGAGCCAGAGGUCAAAGAUAUCUUCCGUGCAUUCAUUAAGACUGUAACGGAGUGCCCGUCUCCCAGGUUAGUUUUGGUGAGGUUAACUUAAAUAUAUACAAAAACAAAACAAAAACCCUAACAAAAUAAACGAAAAAAGAAACAAAACAAAAAACAAAAAGAAAACCUACGCCCAUGAUUUACAGCAGGUCUGCACCUGAACUGAACCAACUUUGAACUCCAACAAUAUAUUCUCUUGAGGAGUUACUUCCCCUUUGGUUUGAAAGAGGAAACUCCUCCUACAGAUAAAAGAACGUUACCAACUGUAGAAACAUGGCGGUUCAACAUGGGAGGCAAUGUGCGGCAUCUGCAGUUACAAAGGUCAUUCUAAGGUAACAAAAACAUAAUGAUUCCUAUUCAGGUGAUUAUACACAAAUGAAAACAUGCCUAUGCACAUUAUAUUCCAUUUCUGCCAAUAGAUCCUCCUAAAUGUUACACACCUUUAAAUAACAGAAUCUGUCUUUAAUUCAACAAACAUUCACACAGCCCAGCUCCAGUCCAAGAAUUACAACAGUUGCAGGCAACUACACAACCUGUCUUCUUUUGGUGAUGGCUUGACCGUGCAAGACUAAUUUUUGCUUCAAUACCUGCCUCUUCUUAGUCUUUUCUCAAGGAAGUAAAAUCAAACUUCCAUUUGAGUAAAAUUCAAAUAGAGAAUAUGCCUAAAAGGAAUCUUUAUCCUUACUAAAGCACUGCAAAGUCCUCAUCCCAGAGAAAGUCUGUGCAUCAGAUGGUGAAGUCCGAACCUGAGUAUAAAGUCUGAAGACUCAGAACUAUGACCCAUAAAAUGUUGUAGGGAGAAUUAAGGCACAAAAAGCAGUUUCUCUGACACUUUUUUCCCCCCAGCAGAUUUAAAUUUUGGCUCAGUUUGGUCACAUGACUUAAUCUGGUAAUUUCAAACUUGACUUGAUAAAAUCAGAACUCUCAACUUUGACUUUUACACCAAUUACUUCUGACUUCAAUUCGACUUGUCACCAGGUGUGUAAAGGCUGCAAGAAAAGGACCCAAAUGUUGGCAUACAAGAACCGUUCAGUAACUUUGGUGGUGAUGGUAAGAUUAUGAUACAAAGACAAGUCCAAACAGAGACUGGAACCCAAUGGCAAGAAGCAACACUGAUGAUCUGGCCAGGAGCAGGUGGAGGUAUGAAUACUGUAGGGAGUAACUGGGGAAUGAGGAACAGGUGAGCAGGUGAAUGUAGGAGUCAGGUGACUGGGACUGGUGUGAAGGUCUGAGGGCAUCUAGUGGAUGGAGGGAGAAUGGCAAGUCUGGAGAGUUCCUUAGAAAUGCAUUGGCCAGAGGGAAGUGAGACGUUGCUGGACAGAGAACACUAAAUAAAAACAAGGACUUAAGCCUUUGGACUCGGAAUAGCUUGAUAUUCUCCCCAAGACCAAAGAUUGAAAAUUAUGUUACGAAAAAGUGAAUACAUACAUGAAAUGGAAAGUGAAAGUGAAUUAUUAAUUAGUUAACUUAAAUUUUAUUUCAAUUUUGGUUAGCAAUUGAUUUUUAUUUGAUAAUUAUAUUUACUAAAAGUAAAAUAGUAGUUCAUCACAAUAAUCACUGCCAGAUGAAAUUAGAUUAUUGUAAAAUGUUCUCUCAAACUCAAAGGAAUAAGGUGAAAAUGAUUCAUGGUUAAAAUGCCAUGUGUAAAAAGUUUAUAUAAACUACAUAUUCAAGUUAAAUACUGCAUGUGCUGUGGUGGAUCAUCUGUAAGCUGACAUUUUCAAAAUGAUCCAGAGAAAUCUCCUAGAACCUGGCAGAAGGAGAAAGCCCUGCUUUAUCUUUAGAGUUAAUUACAGCUGGGAACAGCUCUGCAGCUAAACGUGGUAUUCCCUUUUACACACACACACGGGGUGUCCCACCACAGGCUGUUUGCUACUAACCAUUAAGGCAUGUAAACAAGCCGAUUUGGGUGACACACAACCAGAAAUGAGAGCUUUCCCAGGAUGCACUCAGAGAUCUCUCCCGUGGUCUGACAGUGUGGCGGCGAUUGCGUGAGUUUGCAAAAUAACUCCCAGUUGUGAAAUGAUACACUCAGCAACAUGUAUAAUUACUGCCUGCAAAAUGUUUUAUAAUAAAUCAUAAUAGCCAAUGUGUGAGAUAAGUAACCAGCACAGAAGAUAUUUUUAAAAGUUGGUGAUCCCUACAGCAAAAAAAAAUGUAACUGCUGGUUUUACAAGUUUAUUUUUAUUUUUGUCAUGUGAUGUCAGCUGCCAAAAAGUGCUGAAAAAUGAAGAAACUACUAGUUUUAAGUUGACUCCAUGAUGUCUUUGUAACUGUGAAUUUGUGUUUGAAGAGGUUUUGAGUUGGGUCACUAAUUUAACUGAAAUUAAACGUUUAUUGUGAUUUUGUUGCCUAUUUUUGCAUUAACCAGUGGGGAUGCUCGUCCUCUGUGUACAUAUACUGAGGAAUUAAAUCAUUUCAUUUUUAAGCAACUUUGUUUACUUCUGCUGUGUCUCCCUGUAUCAUUCAUUAUUUCCUAUAUAAUAGACAGGUGUAGAGUCUUAUAAAGGUCAUUUUAUGCCUUGCAUUGUGGGAUUUUCAACCAAAGUGUUCAUGCACGUACACUACUAAUUUUUGAAGGCACUAUAUAGUGGCCAAAUUUACACACUCCGAAUUCAGACACUGAAAUAAAAGAGCUGUUUACACAUAUAAUGCUCUAUAUAUGUUGAUUAUAUUGUACACCACUCAGUCUCCUUUCCCCUGCUGGGGCUCAGCCUGUCAGCUGCUAUCAAUUAAACAUUAUAUAUUCAUUUCCCUAAACACUCUUUUUAAAGGUGUAUUGUGUAAGAUUGAGGAGGAGCAGAAAUGGAAUAAAAUGUAAUUAGCGUAUAAUCACGUGAAAAUAAUGUGUUUUCGUUACAUUGAAUGAGCCACUUUUAUCGUCAGAGGGAGUGGGUCCUCUUUUAUGGAGUCAGCCAUGUUUCUACAGUAGCCCAGAGUCAACACACCAUACACUGGAUAGGAGCUUUUGCGUCUUUGUGACUAUUGUGGCCACCGUAGUUUCCGUAGGCGAGUGCGUUGUAGUCUGCAACUACACUGCAAGAUUCCCCUAUGCCACUAAAUCCUACACACUGGACCUUUAAAUAUUAAGCAACAAUUUAUAAUUAAAAAAACAUUUAACUGACUACCGAAAGGGAGGACUGAUUGUGAUUUCAGUUUGACCUUCACGAACUCAUGUUCAUGUUAUUUGUAUUUAGGUGUUUCUUGAAGGACCAGUGUGUACGAUUAACUGCAAUGCAAUGAACACCACUCGCAUAUGUAUUUGACGACCUGGAAAUGAGAACAUGCUGUGAAGUGGUUUGGAGAAACUACAGUGGCCGCAAAAAAACAUGGCAGUUCAACAUGGCAGACGUGUAAUGUCAACUUUUGGUUUCACAUGGGACUCAAAUUGCAGUCCUGUGUUUGUUUGGCCCAUUUAUCCACUCUAUCCUCCUCUAUACUUGGACUUUGUUGCUUUUUAUACUGCACCUUAAUACAACUGUGUACUGUUCACAGCAAAGUGUCAUACUUACACGGUAUGCUCUAGUACUUUGGCAGGUUGAUUACACGCUUAUUUUGGAAAGCACUAAAAUAUCCAGGUGGUGAAAGUGACGUUUCAACUUCUAAUUUACUUGUCCAGAAAUAGAGCACUUUUAUUUAAACAAACAAUGAGAUGUUAACUAAAUCUGUGAUGGUGUUAAUAAGGUGAUUAUUCUGUAGCCUAACCAAUAACUGCUGAUUGAUUAACUGGCUAUAACUUGUUUGUGCAAAAUGUUCAGGUACAAUCUGUCUGCAUACUUAAACAGCGUUAUGUACAUGCAUGCAAACAACAUGCAGACACACCUACAAAUACAGACACAAAGGCAGUGACACACUUGUACACACAUACACGGCAGCAACACACGCGAGUCUCAGGGGAGAUUUCCAUAUGCUCGCACGGCUGAACCAUAAAAACUGCACUCACACUCACACCUUACAAACUAGUGAUGAAAGUGAUUCCUCCAAACGCUAAUCAAGACCAAAAUAACUUGCUUGAUCAUCUUCUAUCAAAGGCCACGGGACUCACCGACACGUGGACAGACUGACAGAAUAAAUGUAAGUUGACACCAACCCAGUUGUGUCAACAACAAGAAAAAAAAAACAGCACCAAAAAAGUAGACAGGUAGACAUAUGUGGGACAUGCCUAAUGACAGGGACUACAUUAAAAUUAGAAAUAAGAGUAAGACAGAAGGAGGGUGAAGACAGAAUAAAGAAAUUAAUUCAGUUAGAGUCAUAUGUGGUGAAGACUUAUUAGCUGACCUUGUUCAAAGAGGAUUUUCAAAUAAAUCUCUUGUGUUAGAUGGGGGUUUGAAUUAGACACCAUUACUGCUGCUGCUUCUAUUAUUUGUGAUUACAACCGUUACAUUACUGUAAGUAGUAGGUGUUUGUUAGGGAUGUAGAUACACACUGGAUGGAUGGAUCCCUCCUAUAUCACCUGAUACUGACAACAAUAUGUUUUCCAAUAGGUCCAACUGAAAUUACUCUUUGCUUUUUGCAGUCAAAGUUUUUAUGUGUUAUUGAUAAAAAAAGAUCCUUUAGUGUCUCUGAGGGGAUAGGAUGAUGGACGUGUUUGAUUGACAGCUGAGUCAGCAGGGGAACGAGACAGAACAUGAGCAUAUUUGAAAGGCAUGCCAAGAAGUGGUGAUUUUGAUGUGUGAAAAUACAUACUUGAUGGGAUAUUUUUUACCAUGUAUCUUUCACUUUAUUAAUCCCUUUUUCCUCCAACUAUGGAAUGACCAAUUCCUUACACACUAUAGUUCCUGCUCUUCAGUACUGAAUCCCUGUUGUUGUUGGUCUGGUGAAGGUGUAGGCAGCCAUCUGUUGAAUAUACAUGCAUAUGAAUAGAUUGUAGCAUCUUUAGCACAGUGACAAGUGCGUGGUCCCUGACAGUACAAUUUAUUAUGUCAGCCAGUACAAGUAGCAUGACAAUUCUGCUCCUGUUUCCACAAAUACUGUGAAUGUUCAACUGCUAUUAGAGUGGUACUAUACA